This 248-nucleotide unclassified non-coding RNA is filed under the name Hevea brasiliensis (rubber tree). Lineage: Eukaryota; Viridiplantae; Streptophyta; Magnoliopsida; Malpighiales; Euphorbiaceae. The record is from RNAcentral.
GGCUGGGAGAUCCCUCUUAUUUAUCAUGGAACAGGACUCCGGGAGGUCGCUGAAAAAUGCGUUUGGAAUCGCACACAUGGUUGUAGUUUUGUGUAUUCAAUGUUUAAAAUAUAAUCUUAGCUUGAAAGGAGUUCAUUCCUGUUUGAAACUAAUUUUUUAAACGUGUAAGGUGCUGGUAAAUUUUAUGUGUACUUCAGUAAUAGAAUUGGGUGUUAUUACUUCUGGCAAUGCAUGAUAUUCAAUUAGUG